UACGGGGGGGGUAAGCGUUGUUCAGAAUUACUGGGCGUAAAGGGCUCGUAGGCGGCCAACUAAGUCGGACGUGAAAUCCCUCAGCUUAACUGGGGAACUGCGUCCGAUACUGGAUGGCUUGGAUUUGGGAGAGGGAUGCGGAAUUCCAGGUGUAGCGGUGAAAUGCGUAGAUAUCUGGAGGAACACCGGUGGCGAAGGCGGCAUCCUGGACCAACAUUGACGCUGAGGAGCGAAAGCUAGGGGAGCAAACGGG
This 253-nucleotide ribosomal RNA is filed under the name uncultured bacterium. RNAcentral describes it as "partial 16S ribosomal RNA". It matches the Rfam family "Bacterial small subunit ribosomal RNA", at positions 524 to 776 of the family's 1533-position model. The record is from RNAcentral.